This 253-nucleotide ribosomal RNA is filed under the name uncultured bacterium. Its description in RNAcentral is "partial 16S ribosomal RNA". It matches the Rfam family "Bacterial small subunit ribosomal RNA", at positions 524 to 776 of the family's 1533-position model. The record is from RNAcentral.
UACAGAGGGCUCAAGCGUUGUUCGGAUUCAUUGGGCGUAAAGGGUGUGUAGGUGGCGCGCUAAGUCGGGUGUGAAAUUUCGGAGCUUAACUCCGAAACUGCAUUCGAUACUGGCGUGCUUGAGGACUGGAGAGGAGACUGGAAUUCAUGGUGUAGCAGUGAAAUGCGUAGAGAUCAUGAGGAAGACCAGUGGCGAAGGCGGGUCUCUGGGCCGAUACUGACGCUGAGGAGCGAAAGCGUGGGGAGCGAACAGG